RNAcentral lists this ribosomal RNA (253 nucleotides) under uncultured bacterium. RNAcentral's name for it is "partial 16S ribosomal RNA". It matches the Rfam family "Bacterial small subunit ribosomal RNA", at positions 524 to 776 of the family's 1533-position model. The record is from RNAcentral.
UACAGAGGGUGCGAGCGUUAUUCGGAAUUACUGGGCGUAAAGCGCACGUAGUCGGCUUUGCAAGUCGGUUGUGAAAUCCCCGGGCUCAACCUGGGAACUGCAUCCGAGACUGCAUUGCUAGAGUAUGGGAGAGGGAAGCGGAAUUUCUGGUGUAGCAGUGAAAUGCGUAGAUAUCAGAAGGAACAUCAGUGGCGAAGGCGGCUUCCUGGACCAAUACUGACGAUCAGGUGCGAAAGCGUGGGGAGCAAACAGG